UAGAGAGUGGAGAAGAAAAAAAAUGGUGAAAUAGGAAAAGGAAAAGAAAAAGAACGAAAAUUCCCAGCAAAUAAAUCCCAUUUGUACGCUUCCUGAAACACUUCGCAUUUUAAAGAUCCCUGAAUUGAUCUGAAUCCAAUAAUUAAAGGUAAGCUUUCUGAGAACUCAAUUCCGAUCUCACUCUCUCGAAUCGCUACACUCCAUUGCUGUUCUUCUUUGCAUCUUCGCCUCCUAUCACAAACCCCACUAAAACCCUUCAACAAUUUUGCCCGAAUCUACUUGGUUCUUUAUGUAAUCCCUGGUUUGCACUGAAUCGUGUUGAAUUAUAUUUUCAGUUUGAUUUUGGGUUGUGGGUUUGAGAUUUUAAGCGCCAUGGAUGAUUUGGAGAAAGCAAUUCUUAUUAUGUUUGAUGAAACGAGCAAUGCGGGUUCGAAUUUAAAAUUUAAGGCUAAUGAGUAUUGUGAUAAAGCAAAAGAGGAAUCGGCAAUAUGCAGUGUGUGUGUCGAGAAGCUGUGUUUUUCGAACCUUGUUCAGGUUCAGUUUUGGUGCUUGCAAACACUUCACGAGAUUAUUCGGGUUCGUUAUUCGUGGAUGAGUUUAGAUGAGAAGUACUUUGUUAGGAAGUCAGUGUUUUCCAUUGUGUGUUUGGAGUGUAGUUAUGAGAAUCAAGCACUUAGAAUUUUACAGGGUCCUGCUUUCAUAAAGAACAAGCUUGCUCAAGUUUUGGUAACACUAAUUUACCUUGAUUAUCCAUUAGAUUGGCCUUCGAUUUUUGUUGAUUUCUUAUCUCAUUUGAGAAAAGGACCGGUGGUGAUUGAUAUGUUCUGUCGGGUUCUGAAUACAUUGGAUGAUGAGUUGAUUAGCAUGGAUUACCCUCGAACGUCUGAGGAAAUCACGAUUGCAGGGCGGAUAAAGGAUGCUAUGAGACAGCAGUGUGUAUCUGCAAUAGUUCGAUCGUGGUAUGACAUUUUGUCCAUGUAUAAGAAUUCUGAUCAAGAACUGUGUGCAAGUGUGUUGAAUGUUAUGAGAAGAUACAUAUCCUGGAUUGACAUUGGGUUAAUUGUAAAUGAUGUGAUUUUGCCAUUGUUAUUCGAGUUAACUUUAGUUGAUGGUUUGCUGGAGCAAUUUCGUGGAGCUGCGGCAGGGUGUUUGCUUGCAGUUGUUUCGAAGCGGAUGGAUCAUCAGGCAAAACUAACCCUGUUGCAGAGUCUACAAAUAAGCCGGGUUUUUGGUCUGGUUGCUGCUGAAGAUAGUGAUUCUGAGUUGGUCUCAAAGGUAGCUAGCUUACUUACAGGCUAUGCUGUGGAGGCUUUGGAGUGUUUUAAACGGUUGAGUUCAGAAGAUUCUAAGAGCAAUUCUUUGGAGCUUCUAAAUGAAGUUUUGCCAUCUGUUUUCUAUGUAUUGCAAAAAUGUGAGCUGGACUCGGCUUUUAGCAUUGUGCAAUUCCUUUCUGGUUAUGUUGCUACUAUGAAAAACCUUUCUCCACUGGCGGAGAAGCAGCUUCUUCACUUGAGUAAAAUAUUAGAAGUGAUCUAUGCACAAAUAUGUUACGAUCCUGUAUACCGGCACAAUCUUGAUAUCUUUGAUAAGAUCGGAAGAGAAGAAGAAGAUAGAAUGGUGGAGUUUAGGAAGGAUUUCUUGGUACUUCUGCGUAGCGUAGGCCGUGUAGCACCUGAUGUAACUCAAUUAUUUAUUAGAAGUUCAAUGAUGAGUGCUGCUGCAGCUUCUUCAGAUCGGAAUGUUGAAGAGGUAGAAGCAUCACUCACACUUUUUUUCGCAUAUGGGGAGUCAAUUAACGAUGACGUAUUGAGAAAUGGAAGCGGACUUGUUGGGGAAAUGGUGACAAUGCUUUUAUCCACUCGGUUUUCUUGCCAUUCUAACAGGCUAGUUGCACUUAUAUAUUUGGAAACAAUUUUCCGAUAUAUAAAGGUAGUGCAGGAGAAUUCUCGGUUUAUUAGUGUUGUUUUGGCUGCCUUUCUUGAUGAACGAGGCAUACACCAUCCAAACAUCAAUGUUAGUAGAAGGGCGAGUUAUCUAUUCAUGAGGGUCGUGAAACUUCUAAAAGUGAAGCUUGUGCCUUACAUUGAGACAAUUUUAACGAGCCUACAGGAUACUGUUGCACGAUUUACAAGCUCAAAUUUUGCAUCAAAUGAACUUUCGGCGUCUGAAGAUGGCAGCCAUAUAUUUGAGGCAAUCGGUUUACUGAUUGGUAUGGAAGAUGUGCCACUGGAAAAGCAAUCUGAUUAUUUGUCAUCUUUGCUCAAGCCUCUUUGUCGACAGGUUGAAGUGGUGCUAAUGAAUGCUAAGGCUCUAACUCCAGAGGAGGCUACAGCAAAGAUUUCUACCAUUCAGCAAAUAAUCAUGGCCAUUAAUGCCCUCAGCAAGGGGUUCAAUGAGCGUCUUGUCACAACAAGUCGUCCUGCAAUUGGUCUGAUGUUCAAACAGACAUUGGAUGUUCUUCUUCAAGUCCUCGUUGCAUUCCCGAAAAUAGAGCCUCUACGGACUAAGGUUCUAUCUUUUAUACAUCGAAUGGUGGACACGUUGGGGUCAUCAGUAUUUCCCUAUCUUCCAAAGGCAUUGGAGCAGUUGCUUGCAGAAAGCGAGCCGAAGGAGUUGAUCGGUUUCCUUGUGUUACUUAAUCAAUUAAUCUGCAAAUUCAGCACUUUGGUCCAUGGCAUUUUGGAGGAUGUAUUUCCUAUAAUUGCUGGUCGGAUAUUCAACAUAAUCCCAAGAGAUUCACUUCCUUCAGGACCUGGAACCAAUAUCGAGGAAAUCCGCGAACUACAAGAACUUCAGCGAAUAGUCUAUACAUUUCUUCAUGUGAUAGCCACACACGAUCUCUCUUCCGUGUUUCUAGCUCUUAAAAGUAGAAGCUACCUGGAACCAAUGAUGCAGUUGCUUUUAAAUACAUCGUGCAAUCAUAAAGAUAUUCUUGUUAGAAAGGCAUGUGUACAGAUAUUCAUUAGAUUAAUUAAGGACUGGUGCGACCGUCCUGGAGAAGAGAAGGUGCCUGGCUUCCAAAGUUUUAUAAUCGAGGGCUUUGCUACAAACUGUUGCUUGUACAGCGUGCUCGACAAAUCGUUUGAAUUACAUGAUGCAAAUACUCUGAUUUUGCUUGGAGAAAUUGUAAUGGCCCAGAAGGUUAUGUAUGAGAAGUUCGGGCAGGAUUUUCUUGUCCAGUUUGUAUCAAAGGGGUUUUUAACUGCACAUUGCCCUCAAGAUUUGGCUGAGCAGUAUUGUCAAAAGUUACAGGGUAAUGACAUCAAGGCAUUAAAAUCAUUCUACCAGUCGCUUAUAGAAAGUUUAAGAGUUCAACAGAACGGAAGUCUCGUUUUCAGAUAGCGUUGCCACUAGGACGAAAGAUGUUAAUAACAGUUCCUGAUAACUCCGCUUUGUGGUGUUUGUUCUGAAAUAUGAACUCCAAUUUUGUUCACCAAGGGAUAUAUACGCUGUAUAUACGUGUUUUUGGCGGGUGAUUCACGGAUGAGUUGUACAUUGCCUGAAAAGAUCUUCUCAGCUACAGAAGUCAAGUUUUGUCGAAUUGGAUCGACUCAUCUCGAAGAUCAUGGUAUCGUUUUUGUCUAUACCAUUUGCUCGGUUUUUUAUAAUCUUUUCGUCGUCGAUUAUUUCCGACUUGAUAAACCUCGAUUCUUGGUUGAUAAAAGCUUAUAUAUCAGUUCAGAUUUGUUAUAUUCGUCGAUUGUUUUUAUAUAUACGCGCACGUGAUAGAAAAACUCACAAACACA
Molecule: RNA transcript, 3746 nt
Organism: Cucurbita maxima (winter squash)
Lineage: Eukaryota; Viridiplantae; Streptophyta; Magnoliopsida; Cucurbitales; Cucurbitaceae
Gene name: exportin-T-like
Exons: 15
Source: RefSeq, a predicted model, not a curated record